GAUGAACGCUGGCGGCGUGCCUAAUACAUGCAAGUCGAGCGAACGGACGAGAAGCUUGCUUCUCUGAUGUUAGCGGCGGACGGGUGAGUAACACGUGGAUAACCUACCUAUAAGACUGGGAUAACUUCGGGAAACCGGAGCUAAUACCGGAUGAUAUUUUGAACCGCAUGGUUCAAAAGUGAAAGACGGUCUUGCUGUCACUUAUAGAUGGAUCCGCGCUGCAUUAGCUAGUUGGUAAGGUAACGGCUUACCAAGGCAACGAUGCUUAGCCGACCUGAGAGGUGGAUCGGCCACACUGGAACUGAGACACGGUCCAGACUCCUACGGGAGGCAGCAUUAGGGAAUCUUCCGCAAAGGGCGAAAUCCUGACGGAGCAACGCCGCGUGAGUGAUGAAGGUCUUCGGAUCGUAAAACUCUGUUAUUAGGGAAGAACAUAUGUGUAAGUAACUGUGCACAUCUUGACGGUACCUAAUCAGAAAGCCACGGCUAACUACGUG
Molecule: ribosomal RNA, 497 nt
Filed under: uncultured bacterium
Lineage: Bacteria
Description: partial 16S ribosomal RNA
Rfam family: Bacterial small subunit ribosomal RNA
Source: RNAcentral